Molecule: ribosomal RNA, 484 nt
Filed under: uncultured bacterium
Lineage: Bacteria
Description: partial 16S ribosomal RNA
Rfam family: Bacterial small subunit ribosomal RNA
Source: RNAcentral
AUUGAACGCUGGCGGCAGGCCUAACACAUGCAAGUCGAGCGGAUGAAGGGAGCUUGCUCCUGGAUUCAGCGGCGGACGGGUGAGUAAUGCCUAGGAAUCUGCCUGGUAGUGGGGGAUAACGUCCGGAAACGGGCGCUAAUACCGCAUACGUCCUGAGGGCGAACGUGGGGGAUCUUCGGACCUCACGCUAUCAGAUGAUCCUAGGUCGGAUUAGCUAGUUGGUGGGGUAAAGGCCUACCAAGGCGACGAUCCGUAACUGGUCUGAGAGGAUGAUCAGUCACACUGGAACUGAGACACGGUCCAGACUCCUACGGGAGGCAGCAGUGGGGAAUAUUGGACAAUGGGCGAAAGCCUGAUCCAGCCAUGCCGCGUGUGUGAAGAAGGUCUUCGGAUUGUAAAGCACUUUAAGUUGGGAGGAAGGGCAGUAAGUUAAUACCUUGCUGUUUUGACGUUACCAACAGAAUAAGCACCGGCUAACUUCGUG